RNAcentral lists this ribosomal RNA (460 nucleotides) under uncultured bacterium. Its description in RNAcentral is "bacterial SSU rRNA". It matches the Rfam family "Bacterial small subunit ribosomal RNA", at positions 339 to 791 of the family's 1533-position model. The record is from RNAcentral.
GUACGGGAGGCAGCAGUGGGGAAUUUUGGACAAUGGGGGCAACCCUGAUCCAGCCAUUCCGCGUGAGUGAAGAAGGCCUUCGGGUUGUAAAGCUCUUUUGUCCGGAACGAAAUGGCGCGCGUGAACAUCGCGCGCUUCUGACGGUACCGGAAGAAUAAGCACCGGCUAACUACGUGCCAGCAGCCGCGGUAAUACGUAGGGUGCGAGCGUUAAUCGGAAUUACUGGGCGUAAAGCGUGCGCAGGCGGUUUUGUAAGCCAGAUGUGAAAUCCCCGGGCUUAACCUGGGAAUGGCAUUUGGGACUGCAAGGCUUGAGUGCGGCAGAGGAGACUGGAAUUCCUGGUGUAGCAGUGAAAUGCGUAGAUAUCAGGAGGAACACCGAUGGCGAAGGCAGGUCUCUGGGCUGACACUGACGCUCAUGCACGAAAGCGUGGGGAGCAAACAGGAUUAGAUACCCUGGU